RNAcentral lists this transfer RNA (67 nucleotides) under Marmota monax (woodchuck). RNAcentral's name for it is "tRNA.Ala". The record is from RNAcentral. Lineage: Eukaryota; Metazoa; Chordata; Mammalia; Rodentia; Sciuridae.
GGUUGUGGUUCAGUGGUAGAGCACUCGCCUAGCAUGUGCAAGGCACUGAGUUCGAUCCUCAGCACCA